RNAcentral lists this long non-coding RNA (646 nucleotides) under Heterocephalus glaber (naked mole-rat). RNAcentral describes it as "lncRNA (ENSHGLG00000033754.1)". The record is from RNAcentral. Lineage: Eukaryota; Metazoa; Chordata; Mammalia; Rodentia; Bathyergidae.
AUGUAACACAGCUGAAUUAUGGAGGGGCAAGAAGCUUGUGCCACGAUAGCCUGCUAAUACUGGAUGAAGGUGUCUGCUACAGACUUUUAGUUGGAUUAAAAGAAGCUCAGAGAGAACAAGUGACUCUCUUAAGGACUCACAGCUAGUGGGAGAGGUGCUGGGAUUUGAACUCAGACAGCCUGACCCUAACACCAGGGUUAACUGCAUCAUUUCUCAUCUCAGCCAUAAGUGUCCCUCCGCCGUGCUAUCCUGCCUUGGAGCCAGCUGACAAUGGACUGAAACCUCUACAAACUAUGGGGUCUUGCUAUGUCACCCAGGAUGGUCUCAAAUUCCUCGGUUCAAGUGAUCUUCCUGCCCAAGUCUCCGAGUAGCUGGAAUGACAGUCAUAUAAAGAUACAAGAAGAAGAUGGCUGUCUGCAAAUCAGGAAGACUGACCUCACCAGACAUUGGAUCUGCUGGUUGUACCUGGAUCUUGAACUUCCCAACCUUCAUAUAAUUUGUACAUCUCUAGAACAAUACUUAACAGAACUCAGACUUUCAGCCUCCAUUCACAGCCUCUAAAAUCUCUGCUGGAAAUUUUUUUGAUGGUCAACAUUUUGUGUGCACAGUGACAUCAGAUUGUGAAGGUUCUACUAACGAGCUGUGG